GUGUACUUGGAAACAAACACAGGGACCGUCAUCCCCUCCACCUUUCCUAUCUUGUCCACUCGGGCGUCCUGCGAACGCACGCGGCGCCUCGCCUCUUGCCUACGAGCGCACGCGCCUCGCCUCGCCCGCCGAGCGCCGUCCGCCGACACGCGCCGUCCCCCGCCGAGCGCGAGUGCACGCGCCGCGCAUCGCCCGCCGAGCGCCGUCAGCCGGCACAUGUCGUCCGCCGUCCGCCUUGAGACCGGUCGCCAUCCAUUGGCGCCCGCUCGCACCUGGGAUCGCUGACAUCGACCUCCACCACCAAGCCUACUACCCUACAGCCAGCCACCGCCGCCCACUUGUCCCCCAACAUCCACGCCACCCCCACCCCUCGCCGACGCGCUUCAGGACCGCCCCGUUGGCGUCCGUCUCCACCACCAGACACCGCCGCCCGCUACUCAUCUAGGCAUCUUGAGCAGGUCGGGGCGUCGCCGCUCAUCGGUUGGUGGUAAGGACCGCCGGCCAAAUCUGGCGAAACCCGGAUCCAAUCAGUGUUAGGCCAUCUCGUGCACAUCGGUCAUCCGUCUGUCAUUCGUUUUCUCUGCAGCCUCACAUUUCCUGUGCACUGAACGCGAUUCCCUAUGAAUGGAGCAUCUGCCUGCUAGGACCAUGCUGCUGGGAUCACGAGCGUCAGAUUCAUGUGUGUGUCGUGCUUUGGAAUUAAGAUGGUAUUAUCCCGUGUGCUUUGGAUUCAGCUAGGACUACAACAUUAACGAACAUACAGGGUUUGGUUCAGUAAAUAAAUUAUAUAGAUACACAGAGAUAAAAAAGAAGCUCUCCUGUAGUUUUUUAUGUCUUUGCACGCAACGGCCUCUGGGAGUGGUCAUUGUCCUUCCCUUGCUCCCCUCUAAUUUCCUGUAUUUCUGCAUAUUUGUUCAGCAAAUCUCUACUUUAUUACUGCUUCAUCUUGUUCCUAUGUUUAAUUUGGAAUAGCCACUAAUAAUCUUGCUCUGACAACUGGACAUUGACGAAUAUGCAGUUAGUUUGACAAAUGAAUAUCAGUUGCUCUGACAACUGCACAUCUUGUUGCACUUAGUAGUGUGCUAAAUUAAAUUCAUUUGUUUUUCUAAUCUAUAGGUUUAGUACAGCAAGGUCAACAACAGCAAAAUAGAAUUGUAAAGGGGAACCUUUUGAAAUAGAAGACACAAAAAGUAAAGUUGGAGCGCUUCUUUGCCCCUCUCUGCUAAUUAGUGCACCGUUAUCAUGGUCAUUUUGUAUUAUCAAGACAAAACUCUUAAUGUACUUGCAUGUAGAAAUUAAGUGGUUGCAAUUCAGGCCACCUAAAUGGGAUUGGUGGUAGUGGUACUAUCCUUUUGUCGGUGCUAAUUCAAGCCACUGCAUGUCGUCACAAGUGGCAAGGAAUAGGAAGCAUUGGUUGAUGGGUCGAGGGGAUCCACAUGUGAGAAGGGUGCUGACUUGGAUAUGCUUGGGUUUUUUAAUUCGGGCCAAUCAGCUCCAUGUAUCGGUUAGGGAGAGUGUUAUCAAUUUCUCAUGAUUUUGGGGUGACUUUUUACAAUUGGUCAGCUAUCGGCCACCGGCUGAUUUUGUGAUCAUGUUUUCUAUUUAUUGAGUAGAAAUCUAUUUUGCAUCUAAUGGAUACAUUCAGAUUUCUAAUGCACACCAUUUAUUUUGAUAUUGGAAGGGGUUUCUAUAAGCAUCCAUCCAUAUAAUAUAUUUAAAAAUGUUACUGAAAAAUCAUCUUGAAGUAUACUUAGCUUCUUGAAUACCGAUCAUUUUAUUGUAAGGUGUUUCUAUAAUGCUCUUAUGUCUGCGCAGGUUGCAUGAAAGAAAUUUACUCAAAUCAAGCAGACAUUGGUUGUUCAACUCAUUGUUUUUGAUCCUCACUUUUCUCCCAGGUUGGUGACUAGCUCUUUGUCGUCUAUUAGAAAAAUCUCAGCAAGUUUCAUUUCUUGGUCUAAAUGGUCAAUAGAGUUGUAACUUUGUAUGUCAGUCCAAAUAUUCUGGGAAUUAGAAUUGCAGCUUUGACCAUCGUUGUUCUUUCUAAAAUUUUUGAUCUUUAAAAUAGAAGUGAUUGACAGAUUAUAAAUUAAAUCCAGUGUGCAUCCCUACUAUGUAGACCAGGUUCUGACAAUAUCAGAUAUUAGAAGCCUGAAGCCUACUUUUCAUACUAUUUUUUAUUGCAUAUUGUAAUUUUGAAAAAAUAUUCAUUUGCUGCUUUUUAAUCAAGGUUCAAUUUGUUUUGUUUUAGUGUCUCAAUAAGAAGUUAUAUUUGUGGUUAUCUCAUAUCAGGAAGAACCCACUGUAAUCAUUCUUAAUCUGCACAUACACCUAGCAACAGAUAAACUUGCUUUAAAUACAAUCUAAGCUUUACUCUACCUUUGAGGUUCAAACUCAUAGCUGAACAUGUUGAUGUGAACAAAUGUUACUGCUCGUGAGAAGAAGUUGCCAAGCGGGCUUAUUGUCAUUUGUGGCUGGAACAAAACGUUAAACUCCUCACUGCAGGCACUUGAAUGGAAAAUACCAGAAAAGUCUGAUGCUGCCUCUGACAGGGAUGCUUUCAGAGAGAGUGAGAACCAAAUACUGUUAGGUGCACACCUGCCAAUUGUAAAUCAUAUAGGUAUUUUAUAAGAAAUUAUACAGUUCAUAUACUUGACAAUAUUAUUAUACCAUAACUAUAUUACCAAGCAUGACAGACUUUCUGUCUUGCUUGACUUUGGAUCAGCAUGAGCUUAAUUUCCAAUAGGAUCAGUCGGCUUAGCGUUUUCUGUUUGGUGGCCUAUUGUAUCACAUCUUUUUUAGCUUUUCAUGAUUGUGGCCUAAGAUUUAUGUGUCAAUUUUACUUUUUAAUAUGAUAAAUGGCAGUUGUAUC
Molecule: long non-coding RNA, 2869 nt
Organism: Sorghum bicolor (sorghum)
Lineage: Eukaryota; Viridiplantae; Streptophyta; Magnoliopsida; Poales; Poaceae
Exons: 3
Source: RefSeq, a predicted model, not a curated record